ACCAGCCUCACCAUCAAUUUGAAUGUGUGAGCUGUUGAAUUCCUGACGAGACGGCUCAUCACCACGAUCAAUGCUGGACCGUACACAGCAGGCCUCCGUUGGACGUCGCCCGCACAUUAAGGCAUGACAACAUCACACUUCGAAUCGUCAAGCAGAUUCUGGGAAGAAAAAGGCACCCCCUCUUGUGGGUGUAGGUUCCUCUGGAGGCGCACAGAGACCAGGAUGAGGCAACGGCUACUCGAGGUAAUUAGAGAGUCCCUUUCCUCAGGGAGAGAAGAGACCAGAGGACGGGGAUUCUUAUGUACAUGGGGCUAGCAGCCACAAUCUCAAGUCUGCCAUCUGCAAGGAUAAAUUGCCUGGGCCUUUUGAUGCCUUCAUUUUCAGUAUUUCAAGAGUGAGCUGGGUUACUCUGCCCUUUAUUGCCUCCACUACCUCCACUACACUAAGACUGAAUGUACUUUUAGUCAGUAGGAUACAACUGAACUCGAAUGAAUCGCAGGCCAACAAUAAGGAGGACACGUUUUAAUGCAGGAUUCAUAAUAGUGAGCCACAAAACACGUUCAGGUUUUUAUGUUGUCAUCUUGGUUGCUAUUUGUUAGCUUUGCUUUAUUCUGUCAUCGGUAUUGGCUACAAUAAUUAUGUCAUUUUCUAAAUUGAUGUGUAUAUAUAUAUUUACUGCAACAUACCACAAUUCACUAUACUUUACAGCAACCGGUUUUCUCUGCUGUUACAUUAUUUUUUCUCUGUAUCAUAAAUAUUUUACACAUGUACUUUCUCCAUGAACAUAGUAACUGUGUAUAUUAAUAUUUAAACAUAUUUAAUGUAUCAUUUAACUCAGUACACAUUUAGCCAUUUAUGAUGCCGAGAUAACAGUGAGUGGGGGCUUGAAAUGGAAAAUAAUAAUUAGACCAGUUGUGUUUUCUACAUACAGACAGAUGUAAAUACUAUGUAAAGAAAAAAACAGGAAAAAAGAAAACAGGACAGGAAGCUCAUUUCAGAAAUUUGUAUACGCAAAUGAGAGAGUCAGUUUGUGCUCGUGUUUGUAAGGACUGAGGAACUGCUUCUUUUUCUCUGGAUGUCCAAGCUUUGAUGGAAACCAUGGAAACCAAGAUCUUUUGUCGUAAUGCUAACAAUGCAAGGCAUCUGCACAAAUUAUUUAAGUUUAGGAUUCAAUCCAAAGGCUCUCUACACUGAUCAGAAUGGAGCAGUUGUCAGGACCUGUGUCAUGUUAGGUCUGAUUUUACAAUAGAAGCUCCAUCUUCAGAACCCUCAUCACGAGGGUUUGACUAUAAUUGACCAAGCCCCUAAUCAAAUAUUUUGCUGGAAAGAGACAGAGGGCAUAUUUGUUAGCAUCACAGUGAUAAGUUAAUUAGUGAGUGGUUGUGAUCUUGAGAAAAGAACUGACCGAUAUCCCAGGUGGCAUCCCUGCUCGGAAUGCUGCUUUGACACAGUCAAAGACUAAUUACAUGAUCAAGACAUGAUCUACUUGUCUUAUAGGGUGACUGGGGUUAUGGGACUACAUGACAACAUGGCAACAGCACAAAUUAUAUCCAAAAGCAUUAGCUCAACAUGAACCAGACAAAACAUAUUGAUGCAUAAUUUUCAUCCUGACUUUCCUUGAAGACAAUCUAGUAAUCUCAACGGGGUGAACUGAAUAUAAUAUAAUAUAAGUGCCUCAUAUCUUUCAGUGUAAAUGAGAAAUAUAUAUUUUUUUAAACACUCUAAUCUACUGUUUUGUAUUUCACAGUGUAAAUGGGAGAUAUGUAUAUUUUGUACAUGUACAUUAUUCUUCUAAAUAGGGAUGUAUUUACAUGGCAAUAACCUCGGCGUGGACCAUGAGGAGCAGUGUGAAGCUUCAAGUGGCAGGCUGCUGGAGCCUGAAUAAACUCUAGAAUGUUCCCUUGG
Long non-coding RNA from Clupea harengus (Atlantic herring), 1905 nucleotides. RefSeq lists it as uncharacterized. The record is from RefSeq and is a predicted model, not a curated record. NCBI's taxonomy places the organism in Eukaryota, Metazoa, Chordata, Actinopteri, Clupeiformes, Clupeidae. The transcript has 2 exons.